CGCACCUUGCGCUCCUUGGUAUUCCGGGGAGCAUGCCUGUUUGAGUGUCAUUAAAUUCUCAACCUCAUCAGUUUUGUUAUGAAAUUGUGUGAGGCUUGGAUGUGGGGGUUUUUGCAGGCUGCCUCAGUGUGGUCUGCUCCCCUGAAAUGCAGUAGUGAGUUUCAAUUGAGCUCUGUCUAUUGGUGUGAUAAUCAUCUACGCUGUGGAUUGGGCUUAGACUUGCUUCUAACCGUCCGUCAAGGACAAUUUUUUGACAAUUUGACCUCAAAUCAGGUAGGACUACCCGCUGAACUUAA
Molecule: unclassified non-coding RNA, 296 nt
Filed under: Psathyrella cotonea
Lineage: Eukaryota; Fungi; Basidiomycota; Agaricomycetes; Agaricales; Psathyrellaceae
Description: partial contains 5.8S ribosomal RNA, internal transcribed spacer 2, and large subunit ribosomal RNA
Source: RNAcentral